RNAcentral lists this ribosomal RNA (111 nucleotides) under Candidatus Wildermuthbacteria bacterium RIFCSPLOWO2_01_FULL_47_18. RNAcentral also lists the same sequence under 1 other name. The record is from RNAcentral. Lineage: Bacteria; Candidatus Wildermuthiibacteriota.
GUCGGUGAUUUGACGCGGUGGUCACACCCGUUCUCAUUCCGAACACGGAAGUUAAGCACCGUAGUACCGAUGAUACUUACCUUGUGUAGGGAAAGUAGGUAGUCGCCGGCA